CCCUGCCUUUUGUACACACCGCCCGUCGCACCUACCGAUUGAAUGAUUCGGUGAAAAUUUCGGACUGUGAUUUUUAUACUCUCGGGUAUUUUUAUCGUAGAAAGUUAUUUAAACCUCAUCAUUUAGAG
RNAcentral lists this ribosomal RNA (128 nucleotides) under uncultured eukaryote. Its description in RNAcentral is "partial small subunit ribosomal RNA". It matches the Rfam family "Eukaryotic small subunit ribosomal RNA", at positions 1651 to 1778 of the family's 1831-position model. The record is from RNAcentral.